CCUACGGGAGGCAGCAGUGAGGAAUAUUGGUCAAUGGACGAGAGUCUGAACCAGCCAAGUAGCGUGAAGGAUGACUGCCCUAUGGGUUGUAAACUUCUUUUAUAAAGGAAUAAAACGAGGCACGUGUGCCUUUUUGCAUGUACUUUAUGAAUAAGGAUCGGCUAACUCCGUGCCAGCAGCCGCGGUAAUACGGAGGGACCGGACGUUAGCCGGAUGUAUUGGGUUUAAAGGGAGCGUAGAUGGGUUGUUAAGUCAGUUGUGAAAGUUUGCGGCUCAACCGUAAAAUUGCAAUUGAUACUGGCAGUCUUGAGUACAGUUGAGGUAGGCGGAAUUCGUGGUGUAGCGGUGAAAUGCUUAGAUAUCACGAAGAACCCCGAUUGCGAAGGCAGCUUACUAAACUGUGACUGACAUUGAUGCUCGAAAGUGUGGGUAUCAAACAGGAUUAGAUACCCCAGUAGUC
This 460-nucleotide ribosomal RNA is filed under the name uncultured bacterium. RNAcentral's name for it is "partial 16S ribosomal RNA". It matches the Rfam family "Bacterial small subunit ribosomal RNA", at positions 338 to 795 of the family's 1533-position model. The record is from RNAcentral.